CCUACGGGGGACUGCAGUGAGGAAUAUUGGUCAAUGGGCGCGAGCCUGAACCAGCCAAGUCGCGUGAGGGAUGAAGGUUCUAUGGAUCGUAAACCUCUUUUAUAAGGGAAUAAAGUGUGGGACGUGUCCUAUUUUGUAUGUACCUUAUGAAUAAGGAUCGGCUAACUCCGUGACAGCAGCCGCGGUAAUACGGAGGAUCCGAUCGUUAUCCGGAUUUAUUGGGUUUAAAGGGUGCGUAGGCGGCCUUUUAAGUCAGCGGUGAAAGUCUGUGGCUCAACCAUAGAAUUGCCGUUGAAAAUGGUGGGCUUGAGUAUGUUUGAGGCAGGCGGAAUGCGUGGUGUAGCGGUGAAAUGCUUAGAUAUCACGCAGAACCCCGAUUGCGAAGGCAGCCUGCCAAGCCAUGACUGACGCUGAUGCACGAAAGCGUGGGGAUCAAACAGGAUUAGAUACCCUGGUAGUC
RNAcentral lists this ribosomal RNA (460 nucleotides) under uncultured bacterium. RNAcentral's name for it is "partial 16S ribosomal RNA". It matches the Rfam family "Bacterial small subunit ribosomal RNA", at positions 338 to 795 of the family's 1533-position model. The record is from RNAcentral.